CAGCAGUGGGGAAUAUUGCACAAUGGGCGCAAGCCUGAUGCAGCCAUGCCGCGUGUAUGAAGAAGGCCUUCGGGUUGUAAAGUACUUUCAGCAGUGAGGAAGGUGGGUAUGUUAAUAGCAUAUUCAUUUGACGUUAGCUGCAGAAGAAGCACCGGCUAACUCCGUGCCAGCAGCCGCGGUAAUACGGAGGUGCGAGCGUUAAUCGGAAUUACUGGGCGUAAAGCGCAUGCAGGUGGUUUGUUAAGUCAGAUGUGAAAGCCCGGGGCUCAACCUCGGAAUUGCAUUUGAAACUGGCAAACUAGAGUACUGUAGAGGGGGUAGAAUUUCAGGUGUAGCGGUGAAAUGCGUAGAGAUCUGAAGGAAUACCGGUGGCGAAGGCGGCCCCCCUGGACAGAUACUGACACUCAGAUGCGAAAGCGUGGGGAGCAAACAGGAUUAGAUACCCUGGUAG
RNAcentral lists this ribosomal RNA (451 nucleotides) under uncultured bacterium. RNAcentral's name for it is "bacterial SSU rRNA". It matches the Rfam family "Bacterial small subunit ribosomal RNA", at positions 349 to 793 of the family's 1533-position model. The record is from RNAcentral.